RNAcentral lists this ribosomal RNA (329 nucleotides) under uncultured eukaryote. RNAcentral describes it as "partial 18S ribosomal RNA". It matches the Rfam family "Eukaryotic small subunit ribosomal RNA", at positions 1470 to 1796 of the family's 1831-position model. The record is from RNAcentral.
CCCUUAGAUGUUCUGGGCCGCACGCGCGCUACAAUGAUGAAUUCAACGAGUUUAUAACCUUGGUUGAAAAGCCUGGGUAAUCUUUUGAACUUUCGUCGUGAUGGGGCUAGACCCUUGCAAUUAUUGGUCUCCAACGAGGAAUUCCUAGUAAACGCAAGUCAUCAGCUUGCAUUGAUUACGUCCCUGCCCUUUGCACACACCGCCCGUCGCACCUACCGAUUGAAUGGUCCGGUGAAAUCUUCGGAUUGAGACUUUGAUUUCUUCACGGAAAACGCUGUUUUAAGAAGUUGAUUAAACCUUACCAUUUAGAGGAAGGUGAAGUCGUAACA